Molecule: microRNA precursor, 109 nt
Filed under: Chlorocebus sabaeus (green monkey)
Lineage: Eukaryota; Metazoa; Chordata; Mammalia; Primates; Cercopithecidae
Description: miRNA (ENSCSAG00000021165.1)
Source: RNAcentral
AGGUAGCUGGAAAGACCCCUUCUAUUAGGUUGGCGCAAAAGUAAUUGCGGUUUUUGCUAUUAAAAGUAGUACUUAAAAAAAGUAAUACUUCCCUACUCCCCUUGGACUU